RNAcentral lists this ribosomal RNA (206 nucleotides) under uncultured bacterium. RNAcentral describes it as "partial 16S ribosomal RNA". It matches the Rfam family "Bacterial small subunit ribosomal RNA", at positions 140 to 334 of the family's 1533-position model. The record is from RNAcentral.
GGGAUAACACUGCGAAAGCGGUGCUAAUACCUGAUACGUUCACGGUUUUCAAAGCUGUGGAUAAAGGUGGCCUCUGAUAUAAGCUAUCGCUUGAAGAUGAGCCCGCGUACCAUUAGCUUGUUGGUAGGGUAAUGGCCUACCAAGGCUAUGAUGGUUAGCUGGCCUGAGAGGGUGGCCAGCCACACUGGAACUGAGACACGGUCCAG